GUUCAAUAUUGUACCGAUGAUAUUAUCACAAAUGUUCUUCUCAAUGUGCUUUACAUCCAGAUUAUGACGAAGUAGUAGCUGCUUCCAAUAUGAUAGUUUGAAAAAAAUGCUUCGCUUCGUCCAAUUCAACUCAGCUUCAGUACGCUUUCAUUUACGAGUAUCUGAUAUUUUUUCAAAUUGGAUAUUUUCAAUGACUUCAAGUUGUUCUAAAACUUCUACUCUACUUAACUCUUUAGGUAGUGGAUGUC
This 248-nucleotide long non-coding RNA is filed under the name Elaeis guineensis (African oil palm). RNAcentral describes it as "long non-coding RNA (EGUI_LNC078679)". The record is from RNAcentral. Lineage: Eukaryota; Viridiplantae; Streptophyta; Magnoliopsida; Arecales; Arecaceae.